GUGGGUAUAGCUCAGUUGGUAGAGCCCCGGAUUGUGAUUCCGGUCGUCGUGGGUUCGAGUCCCAUUACCCACC
Molecule: transfer RNA, 73 nt
Filed under: endosymbiont of unidentified scaly snail isolate Monju
Lineage: Bacteria; Pseudomonadati; Pseudomonadota; Gammaproteobacteria
Rfam family: tRNA
About the family: Transfer RNA (tRNA) molecules are approximately 80 nucleotides in length. Their secondary structure includes four short double-helical elements and three loops (D, anti-codon, and T loops). Further hydrogen bonds mediate the characteristic L-shaped molecular structure. tRNAs have two regions of fundamental functional importance: the anti-codon, which is responsible for specific mRNA codon recognition, and the 3' end, to which the tRNAs corresponding amino acid is attached (by aminoacyl-tRNA synthetases). tRNAs cope with the degeneracy of the genetic code in two manners: having more than one tRNA (with a specific anti-codon) for a particular amino acid; and 'wobble' base-pairing, i.e. permitting non-standard base-pairing at the 3rd anti-codon position.
Source: Rfam by way of RNAcentral